RNAcentral lists this ribosomal RNA (432 nucleotides) under uncultured Pseudomonadota bacterium. RNAcentral's name for it is "bacterial SSU rRNA". It matches the Rfam family "Bacterial small subunit ribosomal RNA", at positions 63 to 496 of the family's 1533-position model. The record is from RNAcentral. Lineage: Bacteria; Pseudomonadati; Pseudomonadota.
CGUGCGAGAAGUAUCUUCGGAUAUGAGUAGAGCGGCGGACGGGUGAGUAACGCGUAGGAAUCUACCUAGUAGAAGGGGAUAGCCCGAGGAAACUCGGAUUAAUACCGUAUACCUCCUUCGGGAGAAAGAAGGCCUCUCUUUGAAGCUUUCGCUACUAGAUGAGCCUGCGUAAGAUUAGCUUGUUGGUGAGGUAAAGGCUCACCAAGGCUACGAUCUUUAGCGGGUCUGAGAGGACGAUCCGCCACAUUGGGACUGAGACACGGACCAGACUCCUACGGGAGGCAGCAGUGAGGAAUAUUGGACAAUGGAGGCAACUCUGAUCCAGCCAUGCCGCGUGCAGGAAGACUGCCCUAUGGGUUGUAAACUGCUUUUAUACAGGAAGAAACCUUGGUACGUGUACCAAGCUGACGGUACUGUAAGAAUAAGGAUCGG